GGCCUUGUUUUGUUCUGUUUUAAAUGAAGCAGGAGGGACUAAGGUUAGAUCUAAGGACAGCUGUCUUGAGGAAAUGUUAUAUAUAGCAGCAAAGAUCUGAUUGGGGAGAACCUGCGCUUUCUGCAAAGCCUUAAAAGUCUGCCUCCUGUCUGGGUGUGGCAGUACACAUCUGUGACCUCAGCACCAGGGUGGUGAAGAAGACAAUCAUGGGACUGAGGCCCACCUGGGCUUCCUAGAAAAUCAUAGACGAGUUUCGGAAGCUGUGAAACCCACAGUCAAGAUGUCAGCAGUCAGUCCAGAGAGUCUCCUUUCUGGUUCUCGGAUGGCACCUUCUUGCUAUGUCUGUCAGAAGAGCCUGAGGAGCCCAGAGGACAGAUAGGGCAAAUUCAUGUACACAUCCAUUUUGAGGGGACGUCACUUGGGGAUGCUACCUGUUUGAGGAUGAAGACUCUAGCACGUGGCCCGGCAGGGAAGCAGCAGCGGAAGUUGGGGAAGAACAUACUGAAAUCUGCCCUGCAGCCCUGGCCUCAACCCUGCAUGCUGUAACCCUUGAGUAAGGGGGUGAAGAGAGAUGCAGUCGGAGGCCACUGGCUUUUGAGUCCGGUGACAGUAUUCAGGAAGUGGCCGUACACAGCCAGCUCGACAGCAAGUCCCUGCUCCGUGUCUCAGGUCACAGAAUGCAGGAAGUGCAGGGCUCUGCCACUCAUGUGCCAGCUCCUCACUCCUGUUUCCUUGUGUGGAAACAAAAGCUCUUCCAUCAGACAUCCUCAGAGGCCAUUCCCAGAUAUAAAACUCAAAGGUUCUGAAAACAUUAUAAUGUUUCCAACUGAAAACAUUAUAAUGCAACAAAAUCCAUUUACAUUUCCUACAGAGAAAUCAGAAAUGAAGAAAUAAAGGUAAAUUAGAAAUGAAAAAAUAUUAAGUCUCCAAUCACAUUCCUGAGAAGUAAACAUUAUUUACAGACUUGUGUUAUGGUCCUACAGACUUUCAAACUAUGCAUACAUCACUUAUAUUGUCUAUGAAUGAAAUAAUGUUGCUGUGUGUGGAAAAUAUGUGUGAGCUCCAGGUAGCAAAUCUAACGUUGUGUUAAACUGAUAGAAUCAUGAGCUGAUGAGUGAGACGGAGCAUCUGGAAUUGCACCAAGUCUGUCCCGUGUGCUUGCAUUCGACUGUGAGGAGCCUCUGAGCACAGGCUGGUGGAGGCCUUGUCAUGCUGGACACCAAACUGCUUAGGGUAAGGUUGAGCAGAAGAAGCUAGGGACAGGCUCAUGCAAAGCUGUCCAAGAAGGGAAACCCGGUAGUGUGGGUGGCUGCAGCAGUUAAGGAAUGUGGCCAUGAACCUUGGGAUGCCGUGGAAGAGUCCUUAGGAGGCAAUGAAUAAACACAUGAAAGCUUUGGUUCGUUUUUAAAGAAUUAUUUUAGAAAUUAAUGUGUACCUGUGUUUGUGUGUCUGGAUGCGGGCAUCCACACGUGAAUGCGGGCAUCCACUGAACUCAGAGGUGCUGGAGCCCCCUGGAGCUGUAGGUACCGAUGCUCAUGAACCACCAUCAUGAGUACUGGGAACUGAACUCCUAAUCCGCUGACCCAUGUCUCUAGCCCAGCUUUGGCUCAUUUAAAACAAACCAACAUAUACUUCCGGAAAGGUUAUAUCAGAUGUAUAGCAUGGCCGUAUGCUCACUUCGUGUUGCAUCCUACGUUGUCACUUACUUAGAGGUUGGCCAAAGGCUUUCAUUACUGUUCUGAAAAAUGUUUUGUACUUCCUUGUCUCAUAAAUGAUGCUGUGAUAAACAUCCUGAAAAUUCCUUUUUCACAUACGUAUUAAUACAUAAUUCCUAACAUGGUUUUUAGCAUCUGAACUCAAGUUCUGUGAUUGUCUUGCCCCUCCCACCAGAUGGGGAAGAGCUUGUGAGAUACUCCCCAAUUCUGAGCACUCUGGAACCUCCCUGAACUGGGGGAGUACAGCCUUGGGCAGAGGCUGUUGUCAAGGAGGAGGCAGGCCAUUGUGUUGCUUGGAAAUCAGAAUGGUCUCUGAUCGCAAUCGCUGCUCAGUUAUUCCCCGAGGAAAGAAUGAAGGGUUCUCCUUCACUGACUCUUGGAAUGCCUCCUCAUUACCUUGCUCGUUAGGACAGGGGAAGAAUAAAAAUUGAGGUCUCCUAAGCAGGUGCCUGCCAGAUCCUCGAGAUGAUAUGCAACAGCUUUGCGUUCCUGCAUGACUAAGAAAGAAAACGUGGGAAGAGAUGGGGCCAGUGAGUUCUGAGAACUGAGCUCACCCGUGUGAGUGCCAGAAGGCAGAUGGAGUCUGUCUGUACCCAUUUCACAGAUGGGUGCCCUCGAGACCCAAAGGUCCCAUUCUAACAAAAGAGCUGCAGACAUAUCAUUUGCUCACGACCGGACAUUUCCCCUUAUGGCUUCAUCUGCAUCUGCGGAGUCAGCGUCUCAGAAUGUCCACUAUAAACUAUAAAAUAUUAUAUGUCUACGUGAGAGGUGACUAUAGCUUAUAAAACUAAACUGCAACAGAAGUUAAAGGGAAAGCUGCAGAAGGCUAACUUGUCAUUCUGUUUUCCUAAAGGAAUACUAAGGAAAAUCAAGAACAAAUACUGAACUCUGCAAUGUGAUCUCAGUGCUUCUGGGAUGUUCACUUAAACUCUCGAGAAACUCAGACUAUCUAUCACCCAGUCCUAUCAAUAAAAAGUGAGUGAGGAUAAUUUCA
This is a long non-coding RNA of Meriones unguiculatus (Mongolian gerbil), 2709 nucleotides long. RefSeq lists it as uncharacterized. The record is from RefSeq and is a predicted model, not a curated record. The transcript is spliced from 2 exons. Lineage: Eukaryota; Metazoa; Chordata; Mammalia; Rodentia; Muridae.